Callithrix jacchus (white-tufted-ear marmoset) is the source of this 2685-nucleotide long non-coding RNA. RefSeq lists it as uncharacterized. The record is from RefSeq and is a predicted model, not a curated record. Lineage: Eukaryota; Metazoa; Chordata; Mammalia; Primates; Cebidae.
UGAAAAUUCUCUCACUCCGCUGGUUGCCUUUUCCCUUGUGGCUUCCGUCGUUGUGUGGAACGUUUCUGGUUUGACGUAGUUCCGCCCGUUUAUCUGUGCCUUUGUUGCCAGUGGCACCGGUGUCACGUCAAAAAAAAAAAACCAGGCCGGGCGCGGUGGCUCACGCCUGUAAUCCCAGCACUUUGGGAGGCCGAGGCGGGUGGAUCACGAGGUCAAGAGAUCGAGACCAUCCUGGUCAACAUCGUGAAACCCCGUCUCUACUAAAAAUACAAAAAAUUAGCUGGGCGUGGUGGCGCGUGCCUGUAAUCCCAGCUACUCAGGAGGCUGAGGCAGAAUUGCCUGAACCCAGGAGGCGGAGGUUGCGGUGAGCCGAGAUGGCGCCAUUGCACUCCAGCCUGGGUAACAAGAGCGAAACUCCGUCUCAAAAAAAGAAGAAAGAUAAAAUGAAGAGAAAGCACAGAGAGAAAGUAUCUUGUCAAAGAGCAUGGUUCUAGAGCACCACCUGAUGUAGUAAAGCAGUCUUUAACAUGUUCAACAUACAAAGGGCAUCACACCAUAAACUCAGAGAUAUUUCAAUUAGCGCCAUCAGAACGUAUCUCUAAGUUGGUCGUUUAACUUAAAAUCCCACUGUACCUAGCUUCCACUCUUAGUACAUCAAAUAGUGAUCAAUAAAAAAAUUCUUUCUCUUUCUACCUCCAACCCUCUUUAUUUCAUAGGCCUUGCCGCCUACCACACUUUCUACAUAGAUAUGUAUUCCCAGUUGUAUUUUUUUUUUUUGAGACAGAGUCUUGCUCUGUCACAAAGCUGGAGUGCAGUGGUGCGAUCUUGGCUCACUGCAACCUCCGCCUCCGGCUUCAAACGAUUCCCCUGUCUCAGCCUCCCAUGUGGCUGGAAUUACAGGUGCACGCCAGCACGACUGGCUAAUUUUUUAUAUUUUAGCAGAGUCGGGGUUUCACUCCCAGUUGUAUUUCUACUGUUCAGAGAACUAACAGGCAUAUGUCUUCAACUACAAACUAUACAACUUGUGCCACUUGACUAACAAGAACGUGUGGGUGUAAAGUCACCGUGGAAUUCCACCACAAUGAAGUUCUUUAUGAGCCACCUUCUGCUUAAAGAACACUUUACAUUUUCUCAGUAAACAUCUUUUCGUAAUGAAAAAGUAAAGACAAUCUCAAAUUUUAUUUAAUAUUAAGCGGGGCAUAAAAAGUUAUCAGAGUUUGUCAGUCUCAUUUGACUAUUUCUUGUUGAAAAGAUUUUGGAAAUGAGGAUGUAGUUCUUUCGUGAGGCAGAGAGCAUGGUGUCUAUAAAGAAAAAGAUGAAGAACACAGGGUCAGAGCCGUCUCAGUGUGAAUUUUAAACACAUCUGAACUUCCGUCUGCACAUCCUUAAAAUGGGGUAAAUGCUAUCCCUGACACAGAUGAGGUCUGGCUGUAAUGUGCCAAUUAACAAUGUCCGUGCCAUACAUCAUAUUCAAAAGUGUACUUCUUUGUGCCCAGUCUUCUCAGAAUUUCCACUUGGGUCUUCUGCCCAUCAUUUUUCAGUAAAACUCUGAUUUUCAGCUCUUGACCCUCUUCUCUGAACUCUCGGUUGUACAAUAAAUCUCUACUCAGACAGUUCCUAAAGUUCUCACUCCAGCCUGGACCUCUCCCAUGAAAUUUGACUCAUGUUCAACUGUCCACUUGACUUCUCUUCAGAAAUAGUAUAUUGUUAUAAUAGUAUAAUAUAUAAGCAUCUCAAAUUUAAGUUUUCCAAUACUACACUUCUGACCUGUACACUCAACCUUGGCUCGUGCUGCGCUCUUCCUCAUCGGAAUAGAUGACAUCUCUUGCCUCUUAGUACGCAGUCCUGAAGCUUUGGAGUUGUCCUGCAGACGUUUUCCUCUCAACCUUACCUCUUGACAACAGCAAAUUCUACUUAUUCUACUUCUUUAAAAAUAUUUGGCUGCUUCAAGGUCAGAAGGAUGUUCUCUUAUUUUUUUCUCAUAAAAAAACAUCACUUUAAUCUUUCAUUUUUAGAUCUGGAAUUGUUUUUUGUGUGUACUGUGAGGUAGAAGCAAAAUGCAUUUUCUGUAUUGAUUUCUAACUGACCCACAACCAUGUAUUGAAGGACCAUCCUUUCUCCCACUGCCAUUUUUGUCAUAAACCUAGAUUCUCUACUCUUUCCCAUUGGUUUUAGUCAUUGGCAUACCUAAUUGAGAUGUAAUGACUUUAUCUUUACAAUUGCCAUUUAUAUGUAAAAAUGUGAAUCUUCCAGCGAAAUUCUUUUUCUCGGCUGGCCAUUUGCAGUUUCAUAGGAAUUAAAAAGUGAGCUUGUUACUUUAUAUAAACACACAUGCAUGUACACCCUGCUAUGACAUAGGGUUGAGACUGUGUGGAACUAUAGGUCAGCUUAGAAUUGACAAGAAGGGGCACAAGAUUUAACCAGCCCUUAACAAGAGAAUAUCCAAAUGACCAAUAAAUAUAUCAAAACUUUAUUAUCCAUCAGAGAAAUUCAAAUUAAAAUCAUAGUAAGAUUUUAUUACAUAUUUGCCAAAUGUCUAAAAUGAAAAACACAAGUAAUACCAGAUGUUGGUAAGAAUGUACAACUAGAAUUCUCCGGCAAAAUGUAGGAAAAGCAUUUGGCCAUAUCUACUAGAAAUGACCAUAUGUAUGUCCUAUUUCCUAGCAAUUUCACAUCUAAAAUAUG